AGGCUUUCCACAGAGGGAUAUCUGCCUCCCGGGCCCCCCGAAACACUUGUUGUAAUGCUGGACCCGCCUCUUUCCCGAUGUCAUAGGACAGCGAGUCGUGUACCACCACAUCCUGGGAACUGACGUACAAAUGAAGGAUGUGCCCCGGCUGGCCCGACUUGAUGAAGAUUACAUGUCGUGCUGUCAUCACUUCAGCCAGUGUGCUGCACAAAUCUGGAGAACAGAUGUGAUACAGCGGAGGUCUGUUCUGUCUCCUUAUGCCUGGAUCUGGAUUUACCCACAGCCGUGUAAGAGUCGAAGAAAUGAAAGUAAAGCGUGAGGAAUUUGAGCGGACGAGCAGAGAGGUCAACAACAGUCUCACCAGCAGAAGUCAAGGGCCUGGAUGUCACACAGAUAGCAAAGGUCGAGGCUCGUCGGGGACUGUCGACUGCCUCCAAAUACAGCAGACCU
Molecule: long non-coding RNA, 450 nt
Organism: Scatophagus argus
Lineage: Eukaryota; Metazoa; Chordata; Actinopteri; Scatophagidae
Exons: 3
Source: RefSeq, a predicted model, not a curated record